ACCUAAUAUCUCCAAACUAAUACCCACCUCAGCCCUAACUUUUCUCAUUCUUGCCGCCGCAUCCCUCUUCUCUCUUCUUCUGGUGUAGGCUACAUCUUUUGCAGCCAUGUGAUUUGUGAGGAGAUGGUCAACAACGCGAUGGGGACAAAGGAGAGGAUCGAUGAACAAGGGAUGAAGUCGCUUGGCUUAUAAAGUCAAGGUUUGAACUAUAUACUUGGAUUUCUGUAUAUAUACACGGAUUCUUGUAUAAAUCUGGUUUGUAUAUUUCUCCUUAAUAUAAGAUAUAUAUAUAUACACACUGCCAAUUAGUUGAUUGGAUAAAGAUGCGAUAGCCACCACCAUCGUCUCCUACACCACCAAACUGCAACCACUGCCAAUGGCAGCGUCGAGUCCAAACCGACGAUGGAAGAUCAAUAACCGAGAUCAUGGGGUCAAGGUCGGAAGAAAAACCCUCGAUUCACAGAGAUUACAAGGGUCACUAUCUCGACGUCCCUUCACGGACUUGCCUCAUGAAGAUUCUCGAGAAAUAAGGUUUGAGUAUUGUGCAGCUGCUUAUCUGCUGAAGGAAGUUCAGUUUGAGGAAGUUGAUCUGUAAUACCAUUCACUGAGAAAGGAUUUUGGUCCUUAUGAAGUAAUUAUUCCAGGUUUUGCACCCAAAGAUUUUUUAUUUAUUUAUUAUUAUUAUUAUAGUUUUAUAUCCAAAGGUCUAUGUCAAUGUCAAUGUCCCAUGUAAUGGUCAGUUUCUCUCUAUCAUACUUGUACUAUUUUUAUUAUCUGAAUGUGUCAUAUGAUGAUCUCUCUAUUGUGAAUUAACUAUUAUUGUUAGUAUUAUUUUAGUGAAAAGAUUUGGGGAUUCUGAACCUACUAGUAGGUUUUUGUGUUGUAGGGCAGCAAUGGUCCUCAAACAGGUCCAGCGUAGAGAUUGAAAGCGGUGCUACAUUAUCUUUCCAAUCUCUACGCUGGACCUGUUUUAGGAUCAUGUGCUCAAAAUCCCCAAAAUCUUUUGCCAAACUCUAAAAUACAAAAAUAAUAACAAUAAUAGUUAAUUCAUAAUAGAGAGAUCAUCAUAUGGCACAUUCACAUAAUUAAAAUAGUACAAGUAUGAUGGAGAGAAACUGACCAUCCGAUGGGACAUUGACAUGGACCUUUGGAUAUAAAACUGUUAUAAUAAUAAAUAAAAUCUUGUAAUAUUGAAGAAGAUAAAUCAGAUUAUUUUUCUAACUACUGGGUGUGUGACAUUUUCCAUUGUUCCUUACUGAUUCUUUCAUCACUGCAAACUGGAGGUUCUGCUCAGCCUUAAGCUCAACUUUACCGGAUAUUGUAGCUCAUCAUUUGAAACUAAAUUUUUUGUGUAAUUGUUUAAACUUCAAACAUAUUUCAUAUGAAUGAUUUUAUUUGUGAGUAUUGAGAUCUUCAUAUCCAAAUGUAAAAUUAUUUUCCAAUGAAGAAACUGCUCGUGACAUUACUUGUUUGGGAAA
Long non-coding RNA from Cornus florida, 1478 nucleotides. RefSeq lists it as uncharacterized. The transcript has 2 exons. NCBI's taxonomy places the organism in Eukaryota, Viridiplantae, Streptophyta, Magnoliopsida, Cornales, Cornaceae. The record is from RefSeq and is a predicted model, not a curated record.